AAAAGGACAAACCCUGGGUUUCCGUGUCCAACAUUUGACCGUCCGUCUUAUUUGAAAAAAUUAUGAAAAAUUAAAAAGACAAGUCACGCAUAAAGUAUUAAUCAUGUUUUAUCAUCUAACAACAACGAAAAUACUAAUUAUAAAAAAAUUUCAUAUAAGACGGACAGUCAAACGUUGGACAUGGAAACCCAGGGUUUGUUUUUUU
Molecule: microRNA precursor, 205 nt
Filed under: Oryza barthii
Lineage: Eukaryota; Viridiplantae; Streptophyta; Magnoliopsida; Poales; Poaceae
Description: MIR812 microRNA precursor family
Rfam family: MIR812 microRNA precursor family
Source: Rfam by way of RNAcentral